CUGGCCUCCGUGGGCCCUCCUGCCCUGGCGCCAGACUUCCGUGUCCCUUCACCUGGCCCGGGCGCCUCCUGCCAACACCCUGAGUCAAGCUGGGGGUGGGGCUCGGGGUGCGUCUACACUGGGCCCGCACCCGGCCAGGAGUAAAUGCAUUUAUUGGGUCACGGCGUGACCUGGCUAGACAGACAGGGCCGCGCCCAGCGGAGUGAGAGAAGGCGUUGCCUCCUUUAAUUUCUCAAUCUUCCGUUCUCUCUACACGCGUUGGUUAAAAUCUAUAAACAUGCAGAUCCUUCACCCCACCCACAUGUUCCGAUUCAGAAGCUGCGGGGAGAGGCUCAGAAUUUGUGCUUGGGCCGCACCCCAGGCUUGGAGAUUACCUUCAUUGUGGGUCAUUUAUUAUGACAAAUACUUUCAAAGAAAAUACAUGAAAAGUUCCUCUGGAUGCUGUGUGACCAAUGGCAAGUGACCACUCUGAACCUCAGUCUCCUUAUCUGCAAAAGUGAGGUAGGAAGAGAAGGAGCCCCAGGGUGUCUGGGGAGGAGGGGACGCUGCAGGCCACCUGGCCCCUCCUGAAAUAGAAGCUCCCUCGGGCAUCUGCAGAGAGCGUGUGCCAACUUGUCUGGGUUUUGAUGGAUGGGGGAUUGUUUUCUUGACUGGAAAAUAUUUGUGUUCCAAAGUUGGCGAGGCUUCCCUCCUGGAUUUUCUCAGCCUGUCAAAGAGCAGAGGAAAAGAGCCAGUGGGAGAGCCAGGGUUCAGAGAGACCGUGGCGGGAUGAGUAGGAGAGCCCGGUGUCCGCAUCACCUGAGUCUCGGUGUCCGUGUCUGUAACAUGGGGACAGUGCUGCUGCCUACCUCACUGGGCUGUUGGGAGAACAAGUGUGCAGCUUUACACACUGCAAAAUGGGGACAUCUUGGAGUCUCAGACUCGAGGGUCCACCUGGGUCCCUUGGGGGCUUGUUAAAUGUCUUUGCCUUCCGGCAGUACUAUUCACAAGAGCCAAAGGUGGAAGUGACCCACAUGUCCAUCACUGGAGGAAUGGAUAAACAAAAUGUGGUCUGUACGUGCCGUGGAAUAUUAUUCGGCCAUGAACAAGAAUGCGGCCGAUUCAUGCUACAGCGUGGAUGAACCUUGAAAACCUUAUGCUAUGUGAGAGGAACCAGUCACAAAAACCAUAUCUGAUUGCGUUUACAUGAACCGUCUGGAAUAGAUAAACCAUCCAUGGAGACACAUGCUAGUGUAGUGCUUGCCAAGAGCUGGGGGAGCAGGGAGCGGGGAGGGCCUGUUAAUGGGUGUGGGGUUGCGUUUGGAGUGAUGAAAAUGUUCUAGAAUUAGAUAGUGGUGCUGGUUGCACAACUCUGUAAAUAUACUAAGAAACCACUGAAUUAUACUCUUUCAAAGGGUAAACUUUAUAAUAUGUGUAUCAUUCCUCAAUAAAGCUGUUAUUGAAAAUGCC
Equus caballus (horse) is the source of this 1449-nucleotide non-coding RNA. NCBI's taxonomy places the organism in Eukaryota, Metazoa, Chordata, Mammalia, Perissodactyla, Equidae. The record is from RefSeq and is a predicted model, not a curated record.